This 468-nucleotide ribosomal RNA is filed under the name uncultured bacterium. Its description in RNAcentral is "partial 16S ribosomal RNA". It matches the Rfam family "Bacterial small subunit ribosomal RNA", at positions 28 to 507 of the family's 1533-position model. The record is from RNAcentral.
GACGAACGCUGGCGGCGUGCUUAACACAUGCAAGUCGAACGGAAAGGCCCUGCUUUUGUGGGGUGCUCGAGUGGCGAACGGGUGAGUAACACGUGAGUAACCUGCCCUUGACUUUGGGAUAACUUCAUGAAACUGGGGCUAAUACCGGAUAGGAGCUCCUGCUGCAUGGUGGGGGUUGGAAAGUUUCGGCGGCUGGGGAUGGACUCGCGGCUUGUCAGCUUGUUGGUGGGGUAGUGGCUUACCAAGGCUUUGACGGGUAGCCGGCCUGAGAGGGUGGCCGGCCACAUUGGGACUGAGAUACGGCCCAGACUCCUACGGGAGGCAGCAGUGGGGAAUAUUGCACAAUGGGCGGAAGCCUGAUGCAGCAACGCCGCGUGCGGGAUGACGGCCUUCGGGUUGUAAACCGCUUUCGCCUGUGACGAAGCGUGAGUGACGGUAAUGGGUAAAGAAGCACCGGCUAACUACGUG